This 311-nucleotide ribosomal RNA is filed under the name uncultured bacterium. RNAcentral's name for it is "bacterial SSU rRNA". It matches the Rfam family "Bacterial small subunit ribosomal RNA", at positions 28 to 334 of the family's 1533-position model. The record is from RNAcentral.
GAUGAACGCUGGCGGCGUGCUUAACACAUGCAAGUCGAACGAGCGAGAGAGAGCUUGCUUUCUCGAGCGAGUGGCGAACGGGUGAGUAACGCGUGAGGAACCUGCCUCAAAGAGGGGGACAACAGUUGGAAACGACUGCUAAUACCGCAUAAGCCCACGACCCGGCAUCGGGUUGAGGGAAAAGGAGCGAUCCGCUUUGAGAUGGCCUCGCGUCCGAUUAGCUAGUUGGUGAGGUAACGGCCCACCAAGGCGACGAUCGGUAGCCGGACUGAGAGGUUGAACGGCCACAUUGGGACUGAGACACGGCCCAG